GGCCUCGUAGGUCAGCUGGUAGAGCGUGAGCGUACAUGCGUGGGUUCGAAUCCCACCGAGGCUA
This 64-nucleotide transfer RNA is filed under the name Echinostoma caproni. It matches the Rfam family "tRNA". Rfam says of the family: Transfer RNA (tRNA) molecules are approximately 80 nucleotides in length. Lineage: Eukaryota; Metazoa; Platyhelminthes; Trematoda; Plagiorchiida; Echinostomatidae. The record is from Rfam by way of RNAcentral.